GUCGAGCGGACAGAAGGGAGCUUGCUCCCGGAUGUUASGCGGCGGACGGGGUGAGYAACACGUGGGUAACCUGCCUGUAAGACUGGGAUAACUCCGGGAAACCGGAGCUAAUACCGGAUAGUUCCUUGAAACCGCAUGGUUCAAGGAUGAAAGACGGUUUCGGCUGUCACUUACAGAUGGACCCGCGGCGCAUUAGCUAGUUGGUGAGGUAACGGCUCACCAAGGCGACGAUGCGUAGCCGACCUGAGAGGGUGAUCGGCCACACUGGGACUGAGACACGGCCCAGACUCCUACGGGAGGCAGCAGUAGGGAAUCUUCCGCAAUGGACGAAAGUCUGACGGAGCAACGCCGCGUGAGUGAUGAAAGGUUUUCGGAUCGUAAAGCCUCUGUUUGUUAGGGGAAGAACAAGUGCAAGAAGUAACUGCCUUGCCACCUUGNACGGGUACCUUAACCCAGAAAAGCCCACGGGCUUAACUUACG
Molecule: ribosomal RNA, 480 nt
Filed under: Bacillus pumilus
Lineage: Bacteria; Bacillati; Bacillota; Bacilli; Caryophanales; Bacillaceae
Description: bacterial SSU rRNA
Rfam family: Bacterial small subunit ribosomal RNA
Source: RNAcentral